GUGAUCGCUUCAGCAGCAUAUAUACUAAAAUUGGAACAAUACAGAGAAGAGUAGCAUGAUCCUGUGCAAUGAUGACAUGCAAAUUUGUAAAGUGUUCCAUAUUUUU
Molecule: small nuclear RNA, 106 nt
Organism: Suncus etruscus (white-toothed pygmy shrew)
Lineage: Eukaryota; Metazoa; Chordata; Mammalia; Eulipotyphla; Soricidae
Source: RefSeq, a predicted model, not a curated record